Symphalangus syndactylus (siamang) is the source of this 525-nucleotide long non-coding RNA. RefSeq lists it as uncharacterized. NCBI's taxonomy places the organism in Eukaryota, Metazoa, Chordata, Mammalia, Primates, Hylobatidae. The record is from RefSeq and is a predicted model, not a curated record.
AGGCGCGGCUGGGCCGGAGGCCCAGGCUGCGCUGCACCCAGCUCCCCGCGAUGACAUCCAGUCGGCCAGGGCCCAGGGGCCAGGUUCUUCUGUAUAAAAGGAGAAAGUAUUCUCUCUCAAACAGUAAACUCCCUUUUAUCACAGAGCAGGCUCCAGGCUCAAAGCCCUAGAUGGAGAUAAAGUAUUUUGAGGAGGGAGGAGAGGGUAUUUCUCCAUUUACACAAAGAUACUCAUAUGGAGCUGGGGGCAGUUCUUCCCCAAAAGGAAACAUUGAACUCGAAGUUCCAUGAAAGCAAGGACUGUAGCUGUCAUGUCUACCAUUGUAUAUCCCAGCACCUAGCACUGGACCUAGUAUAAAUUUUGUGCUAAAUUAAUAUUUAUUGACUGCAUGGAUGAACUCUCUAUUUUAUUUACGGUUCUUCCAAUUUAUUGCUAUCUGUUUUCCAUUACUUACCUUCUCUUACCCUGAAAUUAUGCAUCUAGAAUGAAUUAUUUUAGUAAAAUUAUUGAUGAACAUAAUGGAAA